GACAGAGGGUGCAAACGUUUGUUCGGAAUUACUGGGCGUAAAGCGCGUGUAGGCGGCUAAGUAAGUCGGGCGUGAAAUCCCACGGCUCAACCGUGGAAGUGCACUCGAAACUGCAUAGCUAGAGUCCUGGAGAGGAAGGUGGAAUGCUUGGUGUAGAGGUGAAAUUCGUAGAUAUCAAGCGGAACACCGGUGGCGAAGGCGGCCUUCUGGACAGUGACUGACGCUGAGACGCGAAAGCGUGGGGAGCAAACAGG
This 254-nucleotide ribosomal RNA is filed under the name uncultured bacterium. RNAcentral's name for it is "partial 16S ribosomal RNA". It matches the Rfam family "Bacterial small subunit ribosomal RNA", at positions 524 to 776 of the family's 1533-position model. The record is from RNAcentral.